UAUAUAUAGAAUGCUAACUUUUUCAAAAAACAAAAUAAAUAGAACUUUUUAUCUUGAAAACUCUAUUGCCUUGAUUCAAACCAAACUUGGAUGCCACCUUCAAAUCUCAAAUCUCCACCUCCUUGGAUCGUGCUCAACCGGUUUCGAACAUUUUUAUCUAUCAUCUUCAAAAGUAUCUCUAUCGGUGAGGGCUGCUCUCUAUGCCUUCUUCUAUUCCGUUCACACUAAAUCGAAUGUAUGGAAUUCUGGAAAAUAUACCUUAGCAAGAAGCUCUUUGUUUUGUCAAGAACGUUUUCUGCGAGGAUCUUUAAUAUCUCACUC
Molecule: long non-coding RNA, 321 nt
Filed under: Arabidopsis lyrata
Lineage: Eukaryota; Viridiplantae; Streptophyta; Magnoliopsida; Brassicales; Brassicaceae
Description: long non-coding RNA (ALYR_LNC003111)
Source: RNAcentral